AGCUUUGUGCAAUGGCAGUAAUGUAGCCAAUGAAAUUUAUCCUAGGCAUGAUUAUUGUUAAUGGAAAACUUUUCCCAAUAU
Cavia aperea (Brazilian guinea pig) is the source of this 81-nucleotide small nuclear RNA. Its record names the gene U4. It matches the Rfam family "U4 spliceosomal RNA". Rfam says of the family: U4 small nuclear RNA (U4 snRNA) is a component of the major U2-dependent spliceosome. Lineage: Eukaryota; Metazoa; Chordata; Mammalia; Rodentia; Caviidae. The record is from Ensembl.